CGUUUUUUUGCAGUAUUACGUCUUAACGUUCAUACGCCGAUUGUACUACAACAAAUCGUGCAGCGUAAUCGACGUGUGAAUGACGUGUGUCCAUGAAA
Long non-coding RNA from Aricia agestis (brown argus), 98 nucleotides. RefSeq lists it as uncharacterized. The transcript has 3 exons. The record is from RefSeq and is a predicted model, not a curated record. NCBI's taxonomy places the organism in Eukaryota, Metazoa, Arthropoda, Insecta, Lepidoptera, Lycaenidae.